RNAcentral lists this ribosomal RNA (460 nucleotides) under uncultured bacterium. RNAcentral describes it as "partial 16S ribosomal RNA". It matches the Rfam family "Bacterial small subunit ribosomal RNA", at positions 338 to 795 of the family's 1533-position model. The record is from RNAcentral.
CCUACGGGAGGCAGCAGUGAGGAAUAUUGGUCAAUGGGCGCUAGCCUGAACCAGCCAAGUAGCGUGAAGGAUGACUGCCCUAUGGUUUGUAAACUUCUUUUAUAUGGGAGUAAAGUGCAGUAUGUAUACUGCUUUGCAUGUACCUUAUGCAUAAGGAUCGGCUAACUCCAUGCCAGCAGCCGCGGUAAUACGGAGGAUCCGAGCGUUAUCCGGAUUUAUUGGGUUUAAAGGGUGCGUAGGCGGGUUGGUAAGUCGGUUGUGAAAGUUUUCGGCUAAACCGUAAAAUUGCAGUUGAUACUAGCAUCCUUGAGUACAGUAGAGGUAGGCGGAAUUCGUGGUGUAGCGGUGAAAUGCUUAGAUAUCACGAAGAACUCCGAUUGCGAAGGCAGCCUGCUGGACUGUAACUGACGCUGAUGCUCGAAAGUGUGGGUAGCAAACAGGAUUAGAUACCCGAGUAGUC